CGUCACUGCCUCGCGAGAGCUCGCCCCGCCAAGCCGCCCCGUGAGGCUCCGCCCCUCCUCUUUGCGCCGGUGCGGCACCAUGGGUAUCUCCAGGGACAACUGGCAUAAGCGUCGCAAGACUGGGGGCAAGAGGAAGCCUUACCACAAGAAGAGGAAGUAUGAGUUGGGGCGACCUCCUGCCAACACUAAGAUUGGCCCACGCCGAAUUCAUACAGUGAGGGUUCGUGGUGGAAAUAAGAAGUACCGUGCCCUUCGGUUGGAUGUUGGCAACUUCUCCUGGGGAUCGGAAUGCUGCACUCGCAAGACCAGAAUCAUCGAUGUCGUCUACAAUGCUUCAAACAAUGAACUGGUGCGGACAAAGACCCUGGUGAAGAAUUGCAUCGUUCUCAUUGACAGCACCCCGUACCGGCAGUGGUACGAAGCCCACUAUGCCUUGCCCCUUGGACGCAAGAAGGGCGCCAAACUGACUCCUGAAGAGGAGGAAAUCUUGAACAAGAAGCGUUCAAAGAAGAUCCAGAAAAAAUAUGAUGAGCGAAAGAAGAAUGCCAAGAUAGCAAGUAUUCUUGAGGAGCAGUUCCAGCAAGGAAAGCUGCUUGUCACACCACUUCUGGCAGGAAGAGGAAAUCUGUUGCUGGAGCUUGAACUGGUACAUGUCCCAGCCAGGCUCCUGGAGUUGAUCAUUCCUGGUUGGCCUUUGAGAAAAAUAGUGGCCCUCAAAACUUGCAAAAUGAGCAAAGACCUGUGGUCUGCACUGUGUGUCAGGAAAAUGUCCCACAAACUUGUAACAGCUUUGACCAGUUUCAAGUUCUGAGGAAUAGUUCAGUGUUCUGAAGUCUUCUGGUGAUGAGAUCUUUGUCCAGUUCUGCUACUGAACUUGAGCGAUGACAGUUUGGAGAUCUGAAGAGGACUUCAUUAGGGACUCAGUCCAGCAGAGCAGGUUCAAGAGCACGGUACCUUAGGGGGAGGUACUGAAGCCAGCACAUAAACUGCCUGCAUUGCCUCCAGACCUGGACAGUGUGGCCGAGCCGAUGGCUACGUGUUGGAAGGCAAAGAAUUAGAGUUCUACUUGAGGAAGAUCAAG
Molecule: RNA transcript, 1081 nt
Organism: Haliaeetus leucocephalus (bald eagle)
Lineage: Eukaryota; Metazoa; Chordata; Aves; Accipitriformes; Accipitridae
Gene: RPS8
Gene name: ribosomal protein S8
Exons: 7
Source: RefSeq, a predicted model, not a curated record